Molecule: ribosomal RNA, 700 nt
Filed under: uncultured bacterium
Lineage: Bacteria
Description: bacterial SSU rRNA
Rfam family: Bacterial small subunit ribosomal RNA
Source: RNAcentral
CCUGGCUCAGGAUGAACGCUGGCGGCGUGCCUAACACAUGCAAGUCGAACGGGGAUAUAUUGGAAUGAGGAUUCGUCUGAAGGAAAUGCAUCUUAGUGGCGGACGGGUGAGUAACGCGUGGGCAACCUACCGUAUACAGGGGGAUAACACUUAGAAAUAGGUGCUAAUACCGCAUAAGCGCACAGCAGUGCAUACUGGAGUGUGAAAAGCCGAGACGGUAUACGAUGGGCCCGCGUCUGAUUAGCCAGUUGGCAGGGUAACGGCCUACCAAAGCGACGAUCAGUAGCCGGCCUGAGAGGGCGGACGGCCACAUUGGGACUGAGACACGGCCCAGACUCCUACGGGAGGCAGCAGUGGGGGAUAUUGCACAAUGGGGGGAACCCUGAUGCAGCGACGCCGCGUGAGUGAAGAAGUAAUUCGUUAUGUAAAGCUCUAUCAGCAGGGAAGAAUAAAUGACGGUACCUGAGUAAGAAGCCCCGGCUAACUACGUGCCAGCAGCCGCGGUAAUACGUAGGGGGCAAGCGUUAUCCGGAUUUACUGGGUGUAAAGGGAGCGUAGACGGCGAUGCAAGCCAGAUGUGAAAGCCCGCGGCUCAACUGCGGUAGUGCAUUUGAAACUGUAUGGCUGGAGUGCANGAAAGGCANGCGGAAUUCCUAGUGUAGCGGUGAAAUGCGUAGAUAUUAGGAGGAACACCAGUGGC